RNAcentral lists this ribosomal RNA (450 nucleotides) under uncultured bacterium. RNAcentral's name for it is "partial 16S ribosomal RNA". It matches the Rfam family "Bacterial small subunit ribosomal RNA", at positions 354 to 796 of the family's 1533-position model. The record is from RNAcentral.
GUGGGGAAUAUUGGACAAUGGACGAAAGCCUGAUCCAGCCAUGCCGCGUGUGUGAAGAAGGUCUUCGGAUUGUAAAGCACUUUAAGUUGGGAGGAAGGGCAGUAAGUUAAUACCUUGCUGUUUUGACGUUACCGACAGAAUAAGCACCGGCUAACUUCGUGCCAGCAGCCGCGGUAAUACGAAGGGUGCAAGCGUUAAUCGGAAUUACUGGGCGUAAAGCGCGCGUAGGUGGUUUUGUAAGUUGGAGGUGAAAUCCCCGGGCUCAACCUGGGAACUGCCUCCAAAACUGCAUGACUAGAGUACGGUAGAGGGUAGUGGAAUUUCCUGUGUAGCGGUGAAAUGCGUAGAUUUAGGAAGGAACACCAGUGGCGAAGGCGACUACCUGGACUGAUACUGACACUGAGGUGCGAAAGCGUGGGGAGCAAACAGGAUUAGAAACCCUUGUAGUCC